GACAGAGGAUGCAAACGUUGCUCGGAAUUACUGGGCGUAAAGCGCGUGUAGGCGGUUUCGCGAGUCGGGUGUGAAAGCCCGGGGCUCAACCCCGGAAGUGCACUCGAUACUACGGAGCUGGAGUACUGAAGAGGAGAGCGGAAUUCCCGGUGUAGAGGUGAAAUUCGUAGAUAUCGGGAGGAGCACCAGUGGCGAAGGCGGCUCUCUGGGCAGAUACUGACGCUGAGACGCGAAAGCGUGGGGAGCAAACAGG
This 253-nucleotide ribosomal RNA is filed under the name uncultured bacterium. RNAcentral describes it as "partial 16S ribosomal RNA". It matches the Rfam family "Bacterial small subunit ribosomal RNA", at positions 524 to 776 of the family's 1533-position model. The record is from RNAcentral.